GAUGAACGCUGGCGGCGUGCUUAACACAUGCAAGUCGAACGGAGUUUUACUUAUUGAAGAAUUUAGCUUGCUAUUGACUGAUAUUUGUAAAACUUAGUGGCGGACGGGUGAGUAACGCGUGGGUAACCUGCCGUAUACAGGGGGACAACAGUUGGAAACGACUGCUAAUACCGCAUAAGCGCACAGUAUUGCAUGAUACAGUGUGAAAAACUCCGGUGGUAUACGAUGGACCCGCGUCUGAUUAGCUAGUUGGUGAGGUAACGGCCCACCAAGGCGACGAUCAGUAGCCGGCCUGAGAGGGUGAACGGCCACAUUGGGACUGAGACACGGCCCAAAACUCCUACGGGAGGCAGCAGUGGGGAAAUAUUGCACAAUGGGGGAAACCCUGAUGCAGCGACGCCGCGUGAGUGAAGAAGUAUUUCGGUAUGUAAAGCUCUAUCAGCAGGGAAGAAAAUGACGGUACCUGACUAAGAAGCCCCGGCUAACUACGUGCCAGCAGCCGCGG
This 505-nucleotide ribosomal RNA is filed under the name uncultured bacterium. RNAcentral describes it as "bacterial SSU rRNA". It matches the Rfam family "Bacterial small subunit ribosomal RNA", at positions 28 to 520 of the family's 1533-position model. The record is from RNAcentral.